UGGCCUACCAAGGCGACGACGGGUAGCCGGCCUGAGAGGGCGACCGGCCACACUGGGACUGAGACACGGCCCAGACUCCUACGGGAGGCAGCAGUGGGGAAUAUUGCGCAAUGGGCGAAAGCCUGACGCAGCGACGCCGCGUGAGGGAUGAAGGCCUUCGGGUUGUAAACCUCUUUCAGCAGGGACGAAGCGAAAGUGACGGUACCUGCAGAAGAAGCACCGGCUAACUACGUGCCAGCAGCCGCGGUAAUACGUAGGGUGCAAGCGUUGUCCGGAUUUAUUGGGCGUAAAGAGCUCGUAGGCGGUUUGUCGCGUCGGAUGUGAAAACCCAGGGCUCAACCCUGGGCCUGCAUUCGAUACGGGCAGACUAGAGUAUGGCAGGGGAGACUGGAAUUCCUGGUGUAGCGGUGAAAUGCGCAGAUAUCAGGAGGAACACCGGUGGCGAAGGCGGGUCUCUGGGCCAAAACUGACGCUGAGGAGCGAAAGCGUGGGGAGCGAACAGGAUUAGAUACCCUGGUAGUCCACGCCGUAAACGUUGGGCGCUAGGUGUAGGGGACCUUCCACGUCCUCUGUGCCGCAGCUAACG
RNAcentral lists this ribosomal RNA (586 nucleotides) under uncultured bacterium. RNAcentral describes it as "bacterial SSU rRNA". It matches the Rfam family "Bacterial small subunit ribosomal RNA", at positions 261 to 857 of the family's 1533-position model. The record is from RNAcentral.